CAGCAGCCACGGGAAUACGUAGGGUGCAAGCGUUAAUCGGAAUUACUGGGCGUAAAGCGUGCGCAGGCGGUUAUAUAAGUCAGGUGUGAAAUCCCCGGGCUCAACCUGGGAACUGCAUUUGAGACUGUAUGGCUAGAGUGUGUCAGAGGGGGGUAGAAUUCCACGUGUAGCAGUGAAAUGCGUAGAGAUGUGGAGGAAUACCGAUGGCGAAGGCAGCCUCCUGGGAUAACACUGACGUUGAGGCUCGAAAGCGUGGGGAGCAAACAGGAUUAGAUACCCGUGUAGUCCCGUCUCUUAUACA
Molecule: ribosomal RNA, 301 nt
Filed under: uncultured bacterium
Lineage: Bacteria
Description: partial 16S ribosomal RNA
Rfam family: Bacterial small subunit ribosomal RNA
Source: RNAcentral